GUUAAGAUGGCAGAGCCCGGUAAAUGCGUAAAACUUAAAACUUUAUACUCAGAGGUUCAACUCCUCUUCUUAACA
RNAcentral lists this transfer RNA (75 nucleotides) under Ochotona coreana. Its description in RNAcentral is "tRNA-Leu". It matches the Rfam family "tRNA". Rfam says of the family: Transfer RNA (tRNA) molecules are approximately 80 nucleotides in length. Their secondary structure includes four short double-helical elements and three loops (D, anti-codon, and T loops). Further hydrogen bonds mediate the characteristic L-shaped molecular structure. tRNAs have two regions of fundamental functional importance: the anti-codon, which is responsible for specific mRNA codon recognition, and the 3' end, to which the tRNAs corresponding amino acid is attached (by aminoacyl-tRNA synthetases). tRNAs cope with the degeneracy of the genetic code in two manners: having more than one tRNA (with a specific anti-codon) for a particular amino acid; and 'wobble' base-pairing, i.e. permitting non-standard base-pairing at the 3rd anti-codon position. Lineage: Eukaryota; Metazoa; Chordata; Mammalia; Lagomorpha; Ochotonidae. The record is from RNAcentral.